RNAcentral lists this ribosomal RNA (471 nucleotides) under Triticum aestivum (bread wheat). RNAcentral describes it as "partial small subunit ribosomal RNA". Lineage: Eukaryota; Viridiplantae; Streptophyta; Magnoliopsida; Poales; Poaceae. The record is from RNAcentral.
AUGAGAUUGGUAGGGUUGGCGGCCAUCGAGCGAGCCAGAAAAAGGCAAGCCUCCCGGGUACUCUGGCUACGAGCGGGAGAUGCCAGCACCAAGUUCUUUCAUGCCAAGUUCUGCUCGAGAAGGCGCAAAAACUUCAUUCACUCCAUCCAGAGCGAUGACAGAAUUGCAAUAACGCAUGCAGACAAGGCCCAAGUCAUCCAGGAUCACUUUAGCAAGGCAAUGACAGCUAGUACGGGCCGGAGUGUCAUUUUAAAUUGGGGCGUGCUGAGGCUGCCAAGGGUCCAAGCCGCUGGUUUGGACAACCCCUUCACCGAAGAUGAAGUUUGGGAAGCAAUUUUGCAGUCGCCAGCGGAAAAAGCUCCAGGGCCUGAUGGCUUAUUGGCAGGUUCUUUAGCGCCUGCUAGCCAAUCAUCAAGGAUGACAUUAUGGCGGCGUUCCACCGCUUCUACAGCCUCGCGGGGGGGAAUUUAG